AGAAGUUGUCCAGGGCUCCCUGAGGGAAGCCAGCACAAGAGCUCUGCCAUAGAAGGACAUUGGACAGAAGUGAAGAGUCCAAUCAGAAACUCUUUUUGAGAGACUGAACGCAAAGCAUUCAGAGAGUCAGCAGGCUGGAGAGGCCAAGACACACACACGAAGAAGGCAGGACACUCUUCUCCUCCUGCGGUUGGACUCCAGGCUCUAUGACCUUUAAACUCCAGGACUUAUACCAGCCGCCCCUGGGCACUCAGGAAUUCUGCCUCAGACUGACAGUUGCAGGACAGUGCAGCAUUUUAUUUUAAAGAUACCCCACAACGUAGGUGGCCAGUCCUGCUGCAGGUGCGGUUUCAAGUCUUUGGAGUUUGACCUUCUAGUCCAAAGUCAUUACAGCUGCAGGCAGAGGCUCCCGCGGGGAAAAGAGCAUUUCCUGGGACGCUGGAACUAAAUGAACGGCCCACUCUCCAGUUCAGCCCUUGCCUCCUUCCCGACACAUAAAGUUCGAGAGCCACGGUCCUGAGUGCAUAGGAAGAGCCCCAUCAUCCUUCUCCCUCUGGGCAAGCUAGGAGCAGCGGUGCGAGGCUCCAUUUCUUCUUCUCUGGCUCCUGGACCUCAGCCACCUCUGCUCAGGCACAGGCCAGCUGCCCAGGCGUCCUCCUCUGGCGACCAGCUCUGACCGCAGCCCUGGUCUGCUCUCGGGGUCGGGCCCACACCCCUCUUCUUCCUCCUCUUCCUCCCAAGGCCUGGGCUCGGGUCCCUCUUCUCACCUUUCCCUUUCUUGCGUUGCAACCGUAACUUGGUAAAACCCUUCUUGAUCUUCCUCUCUCACCUCCUUUCAAACACAUGCUUGCAGGCUUUUUCCCGAUCUCAUCCUCAGGGCAGAUACGCUCCCUUGAUUCUGAGGUCUUUGAACUUGCCGUGAAGCCACACUACCUGCGUCCCAGGGUCUCCAGCUUGCAGAUGGACUGUGGUGGGACUUCUCAGUCACCAAGAUUGAGAGCUGUACUAGCCUGGCAUGCAGACAGCAGCUUUAGAAUCAGAUCUGCCUUCUGGCGGCUUCCCACCUAGGAGCCAUGGGACCUUUGUGAAGUCACCAAUUGUGCUGUGGAUGCUUCAUUUGUGAAGGAGAACAGGACUGCCUUGUGAAAUUACGGAUGAUGCUACUAAAACAUAUCAAUAAUUUGAAUUUCACUUUUGUGGAUGCUUUAAACAUCAUAGUCAUUAGAAGGUGGAUCUGGCUGAUUGUACUUUAAGUUUUCAGUUUGGGCUGGAGCUUUGUAUUAUAACAGGAGGGUACUGGACAAGAUGAGGAAACUGAGGUACAGAUGGGAAACUUGCUCAAGUUCACACAGCAAUUAAGUGAUCAAGUCCAAGAGCAAAACCAGGCAGGCUGGCUCCAGAGCUCACGAUAGCCCACCACUGCUUUCCACCAUCACUACGGAAUCAAGUCCAUGAGGAUACUUACCUUAUGUCAGUUGCCUAAGUUGGAAAUUAUAGAAUCUUCAAAUUGGAAGGGACGUUAUCAUGCAAGAUUUCAACUUUCUACUCACUGCAAAAUCCCUUCUGGAACUACCCAGAUUGAUGAAUUUUCAUCAGCUCUGCUUGAGUACUCCCAGUGACUUGGAAAAAAAACACUAUAAUAUGGAUAUGAAAUAUAAACUGUUCAUGGAUAAAUUAUUGCAUAAUAAAAACAUGCCUAAUGGCUACACUCCCCU
This 1715-nucleotide long non-coding RNA is filed under the name Pan troglodytes (chimpanzee). RNAcentral describes it as "lincRNA". Lineage: Eukaryota; Metazoa; Chordata; Mammalia; Primates; Hominidae. The record is from RNAcentral.